RNAcentral lists this ribosomal RNA (387 nucleotides) under uncultured bacterium. RNAcentral's name for it is "bacterial SSU rRNA". It matches the Rfam family "Bacterial small subunit ribosomal RNA", at positions 29 to 416 of the family's 1533-position model. The record is from RNAcentral.
AUUGAACGCUGGCGGAAUGCUUUACACAUGCAAGUCGAGCGGCAGCGCGGGGGCAACCCUGGCGGCGAGCGGCGAACGGGUGAGUAACAUAUCGGAACGUACCCAGUCGUGGGGGAUAACUAUCCGAAAGGAUAGCUAAUACCGCAUACGUCCUGAGGGAGAAAGCGGGGGAUCGCAAGACCUCGCGCGAUUGGAGCGGCCGAUAUCGGAUUAGCUAGUUGGUGGGGUAAAGGCUCACCAAGGCGACGAUCCGUAGCGGGGUCUGAGAGGACGACCCGCCACACUGGAACUGAGACACGGUCCAGACUCCUACGGGAGGCAGCAGUGGGGAAUUUUGGACAAUGGGGGCAACCCUGAUCCAGCCAUUCCGCGUGAGUGAAGAAGGCC